Molecule: unclassified non-coding RNA, 337 nt
Filed under: soil metagenome
Description: partial contains 5.8S ribosomal RNA, internal transcribed spacer 2, and large subunit ribosomal RNA
Rfam family: 5.8S ribosomal RNA (bases 1-120)
Source: RNAcentral
GAUGAAGAACGCAGCGAAAUGCGAUAAGUAAUGUGAAUUGCAGAAUUCAGUGAAUCAUAGAAUCUUUGAACGCACAUUGCGCCCGCCAGUAUUCUGGCGGGCAUGCCUGUUCGAGCGUCAUUUCAACCAUCAAGCCCCCCGGCUUGUGUUGGGGACCUGCGGCUGCCGCAGGCCCUGAAAAGCAGUGGCGGGCUCGCUGUCACACCGAGCGUAGUAGAUCUCAUCUCGCUCAGGGCGUGCUGCGGGUUCCGGCCGUUAAACCACCUUCAUAACCCAAGGUUGACCUCGGAUCAGGUAGGAAGACCCGCUGAACUUAAGCAUAUCAAUAAGCGGAGGA